GAAGGUCGGGGGAGCGGAUAGGCCGCGAGGUAAGAGGCGGAACUCCAAUGGUGCAUCGUCUUCCGGAUUCGAACCAUCUUACGACUUUAAACAAUGGUGCUACUGUGCGACACAGCUUAAAGAAAAAAACAGAAAAUUAAAAAAAAAAAAAAAAGACCCAAAUAAAUCUUACAUUUAUUCUUUGUUUGUCUUAAGAAGUACCUCAAAAUGAAAACAAGAGAAAUAUCCACUUAAAGGUGCAAUGAUGGAGGUGUGACAACAUUUCUUUCAUUCUUUCCCUUCCUUCGCGUUUCCUUUCCUCUUUAAAAAAAAAUAAUCACUUUUGAAAUUGUGAACCGUUUCUAGGCAGAAGAUCGCUUUUCUUUUCUGGUUUUUUUUAGUUUUUUUUUUUUUUUUAGCCUUAUUGAUUAGGAGUGGAUUACCAAAUCGGCACUUUGACUUCGGAACAUCCAAGAUGAGAGACGCACUGACGACGAGCUUUUCCUUAGUGAGGCGGACUUUUCUUUUUUGUUGUUGUUUCUACCAGCUCUUCAUUCACUCGCUCCUCCUCUCUCUUCCUCCGUCGUGUUUUCUGUGGUUCGGCGUUUGGUGGUAGUGACCGUGCUGUAGCCCCGCCUCCUCGCCACCGGCCCCAACGCCUUCUUUCUCUUUUUGUGCUGGGCUUUGUGUGUAAAAAGAGGCCCGGAGGUGUGUUGGGCCCGUUUUUCACCUGAAAACCUUCAAAUCCACUUUGGCUCGGCAUUAAAUCCACGAUGGGUCGUGUUGUUCACGCUCGACCGCGUCGGAACGCAAGUGAAAGAAUCGGUGCUUUUAAACCAGCUCCUCUGUACGCAAAGUCUAAACUGCUUUUAUCAAUUCUAAUGACGUCAACCGGGGUGCGAUUAAAAAAAAGUGUAUUUGUUUUCUUUUGUUUAUUUUACAUGUUAUGUUAUCCAGAAGUUGUUAUAAACUUUUAAGACUGAAAUAAAUGCUAUGUCCAAAGUGAA
This is a non-coding RNA of Gasterosteus aculeatus aculeatus (three-spined stickleback), 986 nucleotides long. The record is from RefSeq and is a predicted model, not a curated record. Lineage: Eukaryota; Metazoa; Chordata; Actinopteri; Perciformes; Gasterosteidae.